UACGGGGGGGGCAAGCGUUGUUCGGAAUUACUGGGCGUAAAGGGCUCGUAGGUGGCCAACUAAGUCAUACGUGAAAUCCCUCGGCUUAACCGGGGAACUGCGUCUGAUACUGGUUGGCUUGAGGUUGGGAGAGGGAUGCGGAAUUCCAGGUGUAGCGGUGAAAUGCGUAGAUAUCUGGAGGAACACCGGUGGCGAAGGCGGCAUCCUGGACCAAUUCUGACACUGAGGAGCGAAAGCCAGGGGAGCAAACGGG
RNAcentral lists this ribosomal RNA (253 nucleotides) under uncultured bacterium. Its description in RNAcentral is "partial 16S ribosomal RNA". It matches the Rfam family "Bacterial small subunit ribosomal RNA", at positions 524 to 776 of the family's 1533-position model. The record is from RNAcentral.